GGUGCCAAAGCUCAGUUGGUAGAGCAAAGGACUGAAAAUCCUUGUGUCCCCGGUUCGAUUCCUGGUGGCACCA
This 73-nucleotide transfer RNA is filed under the name Bacteroides sp. Its description in RNAcentral is "tRNA-Phe". It matches the Rfam family "tRNA". Rfam says of the family: Transfer RNA (tRNA) molecules are approximately 80 nucleotides in length. Their secondary structure includes four short double-helical elements and three loops (D, anti-codon, and T loops). Lineage: Bacteria; Pseudomonadati; Bacteroidota; Bacteroidia; Bacteroidales; Bacteroidaceae. The record is from RNAcentral.